GACGAACGCUGGCGGCGUGCUUAACACAUGCAAGUCGAACGGAGAUUAUUAAUGAAGCUUGCGAUUUAAUAAUCUUAGUGGCGGACGGGUGAGUAACGCGUGGGCAACCGAACCAUAAGCGGGGGAUAACACUUGGAAACAGGUGCUAAUACCGCAUAAUUCUUUUCUUCGCCUGAAGGGAAUGAAAGACGCUUUUGCGUCACUGAUGGAU
Molecule: ribosomal RNA, 211 nt
Filed under: uncultured bacterium
Lineage: Bacteria
Description: partial 16S ribosomal RNA
Rfam family: Bacterial small subunit ribosomal RNA
Source: RNAcentral